RNAcentral lists this ribosomal RNA (378 nucleotides) under uncultured bacterium. RNAcentral describes it as "bacterial SSU rRNA". It matches the Rfam family "Bacterial small subunit ribosomal RNA", at positions 28 to 407 of the family's 1533-position model. The record is from RNAcentral.
GACGAACGCUGGCGGCGUGCUUAACACAUGCAAGUCGAGCGGCAAGGCCCUUUCGGGGGUACACGAGCGGCGAACGGGUGAGUAACACGUGGGUGACCUGCCCUUAGCUCUGGGAUAAGCCUGGGAAACUGGGUCUAAUACCGGAUAUGACUCCAUAACGCAUGUUGUGGGGUGGAAAGCCUUGUGCGGCUAGGGAUGGGCCCGCGGCCUAUCAGCUUGUUGGUGGGGUGAUGGCCUACCAAGGCGACGACGGGUAGCCGGCCUGAGAGGGCGACCGGCCACACUGGGACUGAGACACGGCCCAGACUCCUACGGGAGGCAGCAGUGGGGAAUCUUGCGCAAUGGGCGAAAGCCUGACGCAGCGACGCCGCGUGGGGA